Molecule: long non-coding RNA, 672 nt
Filed under: Sinocyclocheilus grahami
Lineage: Eukaryota; Metazoa; Chordata; Actinopteri; Cypriniformes; Cyprinidae
Description: lncRNA (ENSSGRG00000036386.1)
Rfam family: mir-17 microRNA precursor family (bases 522-603)
Source: RNAcentral
UGAGUCGUGGGGGCACUGAGUGAGUGAGCGAGCUGGGGAGGAGGAGGCUCGCGAGGCCCAUCACAUGAUGAGACGUUCGCGCCUCUUUCGUAAACCUUCUCCAACCUGAUGAUCCUAAACAACUCGGAGGUUACGCGUUAGUUUAACUUCCGCGGAGGCCUUAAACGCGUCGCGACCAGCGUCCACGCGUGGGGCUGUGCUGUGGCGAGAAAUGAUUGUGGGAACUUUGAAUCUGUGAGAGUGUUUGUCGGUGGGACAGGCUUUGUGUGUGUGGAGCAGCUGGGGAGCUAACAGACAAUUAUUGGGAGCAUUUCACGUGGCUCCGCAAUUCUUCUCCACAGCAAGGGCCAGUCUAUCCAAACCCAAACUCAAACUCAGCUCUUAAAGACCCCAGGAAUUCGUUUCCAGCUGAAAACACCCACUCUUAGGACUGUUGAAGAUUAAUGAAGCAUUUCCCUGAAACAAGGAAAAGAACGCCGCAACAAUACCUUCAAUGAAAAAUGCUACAUUAUUUUAAUAUGGCCUUCCUGCUAAGGUGCAUCUUGUGUAGUUAGUGAAGUAGUAUAGUAUCUACUGCGCUAGAUGCUCCUUUUGGCAGGAGUAGCUGUAUAUUCAGCUCAUGGAAGCAAACUUCAUUUGUUAUUUAAUUCUGUUUACAUGCUCGACUCUGAC